Molecule: ribosomal RNA, 493 nt
Filed under: uncultured bacterium
Lineage: Bacteria
Description: bacterial SSU rRNA
Rfam family: Bacterial small subunit ribosomal RNA
Source: RNAcentral
AUGAACGCCAGCGACAGGCCUAACACAUGCAAGUCAGGGGCAGCACAAGGAGCAAUCUGAGGUGGCGACCGGCGCACGGGUGAGUAACACGUAUGCAACCUGCCUGUAAGCGGGGAAUAACCCGUUGAAAGACGGACUAAUACCGCAUAAUACUAAAUUACUGCAUGGUAAUUUAUUUAAACAUUUAUGGCUUACAGAUGGGCAUGCGCAUGAUUAGCUAGUUGGAGAGGUAACGGCUCCCCAAGGCAACGAUCAUUAGGGGUUCUGAGAGGAAGGUCCCCCACACUGGUACUGAGACACGGACCAGACUCCUACGGGAGGCAGCAGUGAGGAAUAUUGGUCAAUGGACGAGAGUCUGAACCAGCCAAGUCGCGUGCAGGAAGAAUGUCCUAUGGAUUGUAAACUGCUUUUGCAGGGGAAUAAAGUGCAUCACGUGUGAUGUUUUGUAUGUACUCUGCGAAUAAGGAUCGGCUAACUCCGUGCCAGCAGCAGC